This 437-nucleotide ribosomal RNA is filed under the name uncultured Lactobacillus sp. RNAcentral's name for it is "bacterial SSU rRNA". It matches the Rfam family "Bacterial small subunit ribosomal RNA", at positions 28 to 439 of the family's 1533-position model. The record is from RNAcentral. Lineage: Bacteria; Bacillati; Bacillota; Bacilli; Lactobacillales; Lactobacillaceae.
GAUGAACGCUGGCGGCGUGCCUAAUACAUGCAAGUCGAACGAGUUUUGGUCGAUGAACGGUGCUUGCACUGAGAUUCGACUUAAAACGAGUGGCGGACGGGUGAGUAACACGUGGGUAACCUGCCCUUAAGUGGGGGAUAACAUUUGGAAACAGAUGCUAAUACCGCAUAAAUCCAAGAACCGCAUGGUUCUUGGCUGAAAGAUGGCGCAAGCUAUCGCUUUUGGAUGGACCCGCGGCGUAUUAGCUAGUUGGUGAGGUAACGGCUCACCAAGGCGAUGAUACGUAGCCGAACUGAGAGGUUGAUCGGCCACAUUGGGACUGAGACACGGCCCAAACUCCUACGGGAGGCAGCAGUAGGGAAUCUUCCACAAUGGACGCAAGUCUGAUGGAGCAACGCCGCGUGAGUGAAGAGGGUUCGGCUCGUAAGCUCUGUUGG